GAUGAACGCUGGCGGCGUGCUUAACACAUGCAAGUCGAACGAAACACCUUAUUUGAUUUUCUUCGGAACUGAAGAUUUGGUGAUUGAGUGGCGGACGGGUGAGUAACGCGUGGGUAACCUGCCCUGUACAGGGGGAUAACAGUCAGAAAUGACUGCUAAUACCGCAUAAGACCACAGCACCGCAUGGUGCAGGGGUAAAAACUCCGGUGGUACAGGAUGGACCCGCGUCUGAUUAGCUGGUUGGUGAGGUAACGGCUCACCAAGGCGACGAUCAGUAGCCGGCUUGAGAGAGUGAACGGCCACAUUGGGACUGAGACACGGCCCAAACUCCUACGGGAGGCAGCAGUGGGGAAUAUUGCACAAUGGGGGAAACCCUGAUGCAGCGACGCCGCGUGAGUGAAGAAGUAUUUCGGUAUGUAAAGCUCUAUCAGCAGGGAAGAAAAUGACGGUACCUGACUAAGAAGCCCCGGCUAACUACGU
Molecule: ribosomal RNA, 480 nt
Filed under: uncultured bacterium
Lineage: Bacteria
Description: partial 16S ribosomal RNA
Rfam family: Bacterial small subunit ribosomal RNA
Source: RNAcentral